GGAGGGGGCUAGCGUUGCUCGGAAUUACUGGGCGUAAAGGGCGCGUAGGCGGACUUUUUAGUCAGGCGUGAAAGCCCCGGGCUCAACCCGGGAACUGCGCUUGAUACUGGAAGUCUAGAGUUCUGGAGAGGGUGGUGGAAUUCCCAGUGUAGAGGUGAAAUUCGUAGAUAUUGGGAAGAACACCGGUGGCGAAGGCGGCCACCUGGCCAGAUACUGACGCUAAGGCGCGAAAGCGUGGGGAGCAAACAGGAUUAGAUACCCUGGGUAGUCCACGCCGUAAACGAUGUGUGCUAGACGUCGGGCAGCUUGCUGUUCGGUGUCGCAGCUAACGCGUUAAGCACACCGCCUGGGGGAGUACGGCCGCAAGGCUA
RNAcentral lists this ribosomal RNA (371 nucleotides) under uncultured organism. RNAcentral's name for it is "partial 16S ribosomal RNA". It matches the Rfam family "Bacterial small subunit ribosomal RNA", at positions 527 to 896 of the family's 1533-position model. The record is from RNAcentral.